AAGCUGGCAUGGAAAAAAAUAUUGAGCAUGUGACACCUAUGGACAGCGGCUUAGGAGCAUACAAAUGUACACGUAGUAUACAUUGAAUGGUGCAUCCUACUCAUAAUUGCUUAGGUCCCAAGAGACUAUUGCCUUUCUCUCCGUGUUAUGAAUUUGUUCUAGAAUUGUGUGUACCUAUUCAACUAACCUUCAGAGUGCAUAGGAACGGUACGAUACAAGAAAAAAACGGUGAUCUGUCUGGAAAUGGAGGCACACAUUGAGCCCCGGGGGCCGUGAUUUUGAUACCCUCGAAAAUGAAUCGGAUCCAUGAUGUUAAACUGAUAUUCUCAUUCGGCAGAGUUAUAUAUAUGGGUUGUCUUUUACAUUGAAACAUUUUUUUAAUAUCUUAAGAAAGACUUUUUAAAAUCAAUAUACACUCGACAGGGGUAUAAAAAGUCAUGAAGCAGACAUACUACACAUAUGUACACUUUUCUUCUUUGGUUCUCAAUGAAACUUUU
RNAcentral lists this long non-coding RNA (497 nucleotides) under Drosophila guanche. The record is from RNAcentral. Lineage: Eukaryota; Metazoa; Arthropoda; Insecta; Diptera; Drosophilidae.